RNAcentral lists this ribosomal RNA (520 nucleotides) under uncultured Glomus. RNAcentral's name for it is "SSU rRNA". It matches the Rfam family "Eukaryotic small subunit ribosomal RNA", at positions 569 to 1091 of the family's 1831-position model. The record is from RNAcentral. Lineage: Eukaryota; Fungi; Glomeromycota; Glomeromycetes; Glomerales; Glomeraceae.
AGCAGCCGCGGUAAUUCCAGCUCCAAUAGCGUAUAUUAAAGUUGUUGCAGUUAAAAAGCUCGUAGUUGAAUUUCGGGAUCAAUCUGCCGGUCGUGCCUCCGGUAUGCACUGGUUUUAUUGGUUUCUCCCUUCUGACGAAUCAUGAUGUCAUUAAUUUGGUGUCAUGGGGAAUCAGGACUGUUGCUUUGAAAAAUUAGAGUGUUUAAAGCAGGCUCACGCUUGAAUACAUUAGCAUGGAAUAAUGAAAUAGGACGUUUGACCCUAUUUUGUUGGUUUCUAGGAUCGACGUAAUGAUUAAUAGGGAUAGUUGGGGGCAUUAGUAUUCAAUUGUCAGAGGUGAAAUUCUUGGAUUUAUUGAAGACUAACUACUGCGAAAGCAUUUGCCAAGGAUGUUUUCAUUAAUCAAGAACGAAAGUUAGGGGAUCGAAGACGAUCAGAUACCGUCGUAGUCUUAACCAUAAACUAUGCCGACUAGGGAUCGGAUGAUGUUAAUUUUUUAAUGACUCAUUCGGCGCCUUAC